Molecule: ribosomal RNA, 432 nt
Filed under: uncultured bacterium
Lineage: Bacteria
Description: bacterial SSU rRNA
Rfam family: Bacterial small subunit ribosomal RNA
Source: RNAcentral
AACGAACGCUGGCGGCAGGCCUAACACAUGCAAGUCGAGCGCCCCGCAAGGGGAGCGGCGGACGGGUGAGUAACGCGUGGGAACGUACCCUUUGCUACGGAAUAGCCUCGGGAAACUGGGAGUAAUACCGUAUGUGCCCUUCGGGGGAAAGAUUUAUCGGCAAAGGAUCGGCCCGCGUUGGAUUAGGUAGUUGGUGGGGGUAAUGGCCUACCAAGCCGACGAUCCAUAGCUGGUUUGAGAGGAUGAUCAGCCACACUGGGACUGAGACACGGCCCAGACUCCUACGGGAGGCAGCAGUGGGGAAUCUUAGACAAUGGGCGCAAGCCUGAUCUAGCCAUGCCGCGUGAGCGAUGAAGGCCUUAGGGUUGUAAAGCUCUUUCAGUGGGGAAGAUAAUGACUGUACCCACAGAAGAAGCCCCGGCUAACUCCGUG